RNAcentral lists this ribosomal RNA (466 nucleotides) under uncultured bacterium. RNAcentral's name for it is "partial 16S ribosomal RNA". It matches the Rfam family "Bacterial small subunit ribosomal RNA", at positions 28 to 505 of the family's 1533-position model. The record is from RNAcentral.
GACGAACGCUGGCGGCGUGCUUAACACAUGCAAGUCGAACGGAAAGGCCCUGCUUUUGUGGGGUGCUCGAGUGGCGAACGGGUGAGUAACACGUGAGUAACCUGCCCUUGACUUUGGGAUAACUUCAGGAAACUGGGGCUAAUACCGGAUAGGAGCUCCUGCUGCAUGGUGGGGGUUGGAAAGUUUCGGCGGUUGGGGAUGGACUCGCGGCUUAUCAGCUUGUUGGUGGGGUAGUGGCUUACCAAGGCUUUGACGGGUAGCCGGCCUGAGAGGGUGACCGGCCACAUUGGGACUGAGAUACGGCCCAGAAUCCUACGGGAGGCAGCAGUGGGGAAUAUUGCACAAUGGGCGGAAGCCUGAUGCAGCAACGCCGCGUGCGGGAUGACGGCCUUCGGGUUGUAAACCGCUUUCGCCUGUGACGAAGCGUGCGUGACGGUAAUGGGUAAAGAAGCACCGGCUAACUACG